Molecule: long non-coding RNA, 3887 nt
Organism: Oncorhynchus tshawytscha (Chinook salmon)
Lineage: Eukaryota; Metazoa; Chordata; Actinopteri; Salmoniformes; Salmonidae
Source: Ensembl
AAUGACUCUGAUUCUAUGAUUCUAAUUCUAUACACUGUACUGGAACCACAGAAUUAGAAUGACUCUGAUUCUAAGAUUCUAAUUCUAUACACUGUACUGGAACCACAGAAUUAGAAUGACUCUGAUUCUAUGAUUCUAAUUCUAUACACUGUACUGGAACCACAGAAUUAGAAUGACUCUGAUUCUAAGAUUCUAAUUCUAUACACUGUACUGGAACCACAGAAUUAGAAUGACUCUGAUUCUAUGAUUCUAAUUCUAUACACUGUACUGGGACAUUGGUAUGCGCUGUAUACUGUAGAAUCCCAGCAGCUGAUAACGGCAUUGAUCAGGUCCAACAAGGGAUGAUAUGUUACAAGAACACUGGACAUUUUCACACUGUAUCUCUGUAUCACUGUAUCUUGCCCAAUGGAUUUAAUAAUGCUUAACCACUAGCCAAAUACGAUGUGUGUUUAAGAAGUACUUUCUUAGCUAUAUAUUUUCUGUUUUAUUUUGUUUGAAUGGUAGAAGAUCAGAGACGACUUUCUGCUCUGGAUCGUGAUGUUGAUAGUCUCUCCAGACAUGUUGAUAGUCUCUCCCGUAGUCUCUCCAGACAUCUGCUUUGCCUCCCACAAUUUUCAAAUGCUCCAACUUAGGGUCUGGUUUUCAAGACUAGACAACACAAGUAUUGACAUCUGAACAGCGUUUUUUUUAAACCCCUGGUGCCUUAUCUUUCUCUAUAAAACAGGAAGGCUGUCAUCUUAUCACCAGACAGAAGCAGCUCAUGGACUUGAUUGAAUGCUGUUCAUGUCUGAGCUAAUAGAGGCAUCCAUUUUGUGACCUGGGACUUGUAUAACCGAACAAGAAAGAAAGGGUUACCAGAGGUCACUCUAACACCUUCCUGAAUGAGUCCAGAGAUCACUCUAACAUUCUCCUGAAUGAGUCCAGAGGUCACUCUAACAUUCUCCUGAAUGAGUCCAGAGAUCACUCUAACACCUUCCUGAAUGAGUCCAGAGAUCACUCUAACAUUCUCCUGAAUGAGUCCAGAGGUCACUCUAACAUUCUCCUGAAUGAGUCCAGAGGUCACUCUAACAUUCUCCUGAAUGAGUCCAGAGGUCACUCUAACAUUCUCCUGAAUGAGUCCAGAGAUCACUCUAACACCUUCCUGAAUGAGUCCAGAGAUCACUCUAACAUUCUCCUGAAUGAGUCCAGAGGUCACUCUAACAUUCUCCUGAAUGAGUCCAGAGGUCACUCUAACAUUCUCCUGAAUGAGUCCAGAGAUCACUCUAACAUUCUCCUGAAUGAGUCCAGAGAUCACUCUUACAUUCUCCUGAAUGAGUCCAGAGAUCACUCUAACAUUCUCCUGAAUGAGUCCAGAGAUCACUCUAACAUUCUCCUGAAUGAGUACAGAGGUCACUAUAACAUUCUCCUGAAUGAGUCCAGAGGUCACUCUAACAUUCUCCUGAAUGAGUCCAGAGGUCACUCUAACAUUCUCUGAAUGAGUCCAGAGGUCACGCUAACAUUCUCCUGAAUGAGUCCAGAGGUCACUCUAACAUUCUCCUGAAUGAGUCCAGAGGUCACUAACACCUUCCUGAAUGAGUCCAGAGGUCACUAACAUUCUCCUGAAUGAGUCCAGAGGUCACUCUAACAUUCUCUGAAUGAGUCCAGAGGUCACUAACAUUCUCCUGAUUGAGUCCAGAGGUCACUAACAUUCUCCUGAAUGAGUCCAGAGGUCACUCUACCACCUUCCUGAAUGAGUCCAGAGGUCACUAACACCUUCCUGAAAGAGUCCAGAGAUCACUAACACCUUCCUGAAUGAGUCCAGAGGUCACUAACACCUUCCUGAAUGAGUCCAGGGGUCACUAACACCUUACUGAAUGAGUCCAGAGGUCACUAACACCUUCCUGAAUGAGUCCAGAGAUCACUAACACCUUCCUGAAUGAGUCCAGAGGUCACUAACACCUUCCUGAAUGAGUCCAGGGGUCACUAACACCUUACUGAAUGAGUCCAGAGGUCACUAACACCUUCCUGAAUGAGUCCAGAGGUCACUAACAUUGAUUGCUCUAAAUCUGUGUAACACUUUUUGUCUUCCCCUCUCUGACGGGAAACAACACCCUGUCCCCGAAGUCAUGUUUAUACCUCCUCUGGAAAUAGUUUUUCAUAUGUCCUCUGUUAUUGUCUUUCCCUUUACUCACUGACCACUCCCCUCUUUGAUAUACUAUUGGCCAUGUUCCUCAUAUGUCGGAACUAUACACUACUUAUUAUAUACAUGUGUGAUGAAGGACCCUUUGGACAUCUGGUAUCUGAAUGGUAUCAAGUUAACAAAGUAUUCUGAUUCUGUGAUCAGGUGUGUUGAAACAGGUGUGUUGAAACACAGUCCCUCUAAGGUGUGUUGAAGAUCUCACCUGACCUGUUGUGUCAUGAGAAAUAUAAAUUUUAAAAAACAUAAUCAAAUGAAUAUACUUCAUUGAACAUGACAAAAUAUAAAGACAUUGUACUAUACUGUAUUACCAAUAUGAUGUUGACAUACAUGAGUACAGUGUAAUAUUUUAGCUUAUUUAUAAUGCACCAGCCAGCCUUUACAGUAAAACCAGCAUAGCAUUGUAUAUAUCAACUGAUUUAUGCUCUCUUGGGUGGUUGCAUCUGGUUCCAACUGGUUUCAACUGGUUUCAAAUGGUUCCAACUGGUUUCAACUGGUUCCAACUGGCUCCAUCUGGUUCCAACUGGUUCCACAUGGUUUCAACUGGUUCCAACUGGUUUCAACUGGUUCCAAAUGGUUCCAACUGGUUCCACAUGGUUUCAACUGGUUCCAACUGGUUUCAACUGGUUCCAAAUGGUUCCAACUUGUUCCACGUGGUUUCAACUGGUUUCAACUGGUUCCAAAUGGUUCCAACUAGUUCCAAAUGGUUCCAACUGGUUCCACGUGGUUUCAACUGGUUCCAACUGGUUCCAACUUGUUCCACGUGGUUUCAACUGGUUCCACGUGGUUUCAACUGGUUCCAAAUGGUUCCAACUAGUUCCAAAUGGUUCCAACUGGUUCCACGUGGUUUCAACUGGUUCCAACUGGUUCCACGUGGUUUCAACUGGUUCCAACUGGUUCCACGUGGUUUCAACUGGUUCCAACUGGUUUCAAAUGGUUCCAACUGGUUCCAAAUGGUUCCAACUGGUUCCAAGUGGUUCCAACUGGUUUUAAAUGGUAUAGAAAUUCAUCAACUGUUCCUGUGUAGCUUCAUUUUGUAACAAUGUAUGUUCCUUUUUAUGUUAUUUUAGUUAUAUCAUUAUACUGUUGACUGUUGUUACUCUAUCCUUGUUGUUGUUGUUGUUAUAUUAUUCAUAUGUAAACAUUGUUAUGCUAUAUUAUGAAACUCUGUGCCAAUCAAAAUCGCUAUUCGGCUUUUACCUGUCUCACUGGAUAAGAAAACACACACAGAGAGAGAAAGAGAGAGAGAGAGUAGAGAAUUGAAGGAGUUUGUCUGGUGGGAGUCCGUGAUGUCAUCGGGCUCCAUCUUGCUUGAGGAACUGCAGAGACCUAAGGAGGAAAGGCCAUCCUGUGUCACACCCUGUCACACCUGGACUACCGAUUGAGAUGUGGCUUUUGUUAAGGAAAUCAGGUGUUAAAUGACACUUUAAAUCUUUACUUCAUUUUUUAAAAUACGUUUAUCUUAUUACUCUAAUUCUUAUGGCUUAAAGCCCUUCAGAGCACUAAAAUACUUAAUGAAAGCAUAAAUACCCCUCCUUCAUUCACCUCUAUACUAUUCCUGUUCCUGCUUUUAAAGUCCUCCCUAUAAAUGUGUGAUUUUUAGUCUUACCUCUUACUUUAUUUUUAAUACACGAUCAUUACAUUUAUUUUGGAACCUUUGCUGUUUUGUAUUUUUGUGUUAAAGAGCAUGUUGCCAUAAUAUGAAUGCAGU